RNAcentral lists this RNase P RNA (419 nucleotides) under Phycicoccus sp. RNAcentral's name for it is "RNase P RNA component class A". It matches the Rfam family "Bacterial RNase P class A". Rfam says of the family: Ribonuclease P (RNase P) is a ubiquitous endoribonuclease, found in archaea, bacteria and eukarya as well as chloroplasts and mitochondria. Its best characterised activity is the generation of mature 5'-ends of tRNAs by cleaving the 5'-leader elements of precursor-tRNAs. Cellular RNase Ps are ribonucleoproteins. Lineage: Bacteria; Bacillati; Actinomycetota; Actinomycetes; Micrococcales; Intrasporangiaceae. The record is from RNAcentral.
UGAGUCGGUCAGACGGCCGCGUCGAUGCUGAGGUCCCGGGUUCCGGGUAACGCACAUCGCCGAGGAACGUCCGGGCUCCACAGGGCAAGGUGAUGGCUAACGGCCACCCGGGGUGACCCGCGGGACAGUGCCACAGAAAAUAGACCGCCACGACGAACCACCCGGCUUCGGCCGGACGGGCGUCGCGGUAAGGGUGAAACGGUGGUGUAAGAGACCACCAGCACUCCAGGUGACUGGAGUGGCUAGGUAAACCCCACCUGGAGCAAGGUCAGACAGCAAGCGUUUGAGGGCGGCCCGCCCGAGCUUGCGGGUAGACCGCUAGAGGUGCUCGGCAACGAGUACACGAGAUGGAUGGUCGUCCGUCGCGUGCUGGCAACGGCGCGCGAUGACAGAACCCGGCGUAUCGACCGACUCAUCCA